GGAGACCAGCACGUGCGUAGGAUCUCCGAGGUGUAGGGUACUUUUAGUAGCAGAAUCUGACUGUAGAGAACAGGACAAUAUCCACUGGCUGGGGACAGAACUUUAUGUUAGCUAAAGUCUCAGGUGCAUCCAUUUUGUUUCAAAGACUUAGAGAGGAGUGGAAGAACCAGGGCAAGCGAAAAGAAGUCAGGACGUGGAGGAAGCCGACCACGGCAAACUUACUGCAACCACAGAGGAGACCAGAGGACCGAAGACGAGCAGCCAGAAGGUCAUCUGCUAGAAGUGAGGCUUACGAAGAUUUGCUCAUAAAGCAACAAGCUGAUAAUUUGGAUUGCCAAAGACAAAGCAAAGAAUGAACUGGAUGCCUAGUUCUGCGAGUCGAGACCAGAAAACAGGCAGCCACCCUGAGCAAGCAGUGGAUGGAGAAGCUGCUGAGUGCAGAUCAGGAGAAAUGCAAGACUGGACCAUUGACAGAACACUGACUUCUUCCAAAAAGAAGUCUGGAAAGGCCGGAGAAGAGAUGCUUGCAGGAUGCCUUCUCUAUUCUGGGGCAACACUGCCCUUGUGUGAAGAUUUGUUUCAUACAUACCCUUCCAUGUAGAAGAGACACAGCUUGUAAAAUCGGCUUCUACCCAUUUGGAAGGUGAGGGUCAGGGGAUUUUUAAAUAACCAAGUUUGCCUGGCCUCAUACCAUUUUUUUUUGUUUGUUUUUCUGUAGGCAAACUGGAAUGAGGAGCCCUUUUAGAGUCUUAAUAUAAACCCUGUUGACUGAAGGCCCAGUUACUAAUGCACGGCUGUCCUGAGGUCCAAAAACAGGAAGUGGAGGGGCGGGGUUUGCACUGCUCAGAUCGCAAAUUGAAUCUCCUAGCUCAUAUCUUGGGGCAGGAAGGCGCCUCCUUCUCCGGGUUCUGAACCGGAGCCUCAGAUUUAACGUCGAGCACAAGACAGUCCUACACCAGCAUAGACACUGGAGGUAGAAUGCAGCUGGAGAGGAGGAAACUCAAGGCUUGACCGCUGACUGGCCACUGACUGCUUCAAAACAGAGGAGGCCUGAGAAGGUGGGCGCCUCAGCUCUCCACCUCCUUCCCCUUUCCCUCCUGCUUCCAUCAGUUUCCUGUACUUUCCUUUUUCCCUUCUUUGGAUUUUUGUCUUUCGUGUUUUGAUGGUGGAUUCUGAUGAGGGAACAGAGCUACUAGCUGUGGCACUCAGAUAAAAUUAAAAUGGAGGCUAAGCUGUCAUUAAUCACUUUUGCUCUCACUGAAGGAAAAAGGCAGGGCUGACACAUUGCUGGACUCUGCUUUAUUUUUUGUAUUGUAUUUUUUUUUCAAAUCGCGAAGGCGGGGGCGGAGUGAUGCAUGCCUCGUACCUUGGUUGCAGUGGGGCAACACUGCCAUCAUGUGGAACUUGUUUCAAACAUACCCUUCAACAUGGGCACAUUGCGUACUCAAUGCUACUUCUAGGCAUUUUGAAGGUGAGGGUCAGGGAGGGGCCUCUUAUUUUUGGUCUCAUACCAUUUUAUUAAACUUUAUUGACUGAAGGCCCAGUUACUAGUGCAAACCUGUUGUGAGAUCCAGGAACAGGAAGUGGAGGGGCGGGGCUUGCACUGCUCAGCUUGCAAUAGGAA
Molecule: long non-coding RNA, 1624 nt
Organism: Chionomys nivalis (European snow vole)
Lineage: Eukaryota; Metazoa; Chordata; Mammalia; Rodentia; Cricetidae
Exons: 5
Source: RefSeq, a predicted model, not a curated record